UUAAAAACCAUGCCGAAGACAGUAGGUGUCCCAAGGGACGUAAGCGAAGCGCCUACCGAGGAAAGAGUUUAUGAUUAAGACUUUUUGCCUUCCUGUCUUCAGGGAGGCUUUUCUUAUA
This 118-nucleotide small RNA is filed under the name uncultured Acetatifactor sp. RNAcentral's name for it is "Ribosomal protein L10 leader". It matches the Rfam family "Ribosomal protein L10 leader". Rfam says of the family: This family is a putative r-protein leader autoregulatory structure found in B. subtilis and other low-GC Gram-positive bacteria. It is located in the 5' untranslated regions of mRNAs encoding ribosomal proteins L10 and L12 (rplJ-rplL). Lineage: Bacteria; Bacillati; Bacillota; Clostridia; Lachnospirales; Lachnospiraceae. The record is from RNAcentral.